This 72-nucleotide transfer RNA is filed under the name Capra hircus (goat). It matches the Rfam family "tRNA". From Rfam's summary of the family: Transfer RNA (tRNA) molecules are approximately 80 nucleotides in length. Their secondary structure includes four short double-helical elements and three loops (D, anti-codon, and T loops). Further hydrogen bonds mediate the characteristic L-shaped molecular structure. tRNAs have two regions of fundamental functional importance: the anti-codon, which is responsible for specific mRNA codon recognition, and the 3' end, to which the tRNAs corresponding amino acid is attached (by aminoacyl-tRNA synthetases). tRNAs cope with the degeneracy of the genetic code in two manners: having more than one tRNA (with a specific anti-codon) for a particular amino acid; and 'wobble' base-pairing, i.e. permitting non-standard base-pairing at the 3rd anti-codon position. RNAcentral also lists the same sequence under 1 other name. The record is from Rfam by way of RNAcentral. Lineage: Eukaryota; Metazoa; Chordata; Mammalia; Artiodactyla; Bovidae.
UCCCUGGUAGCUCACAUGGUAAAGUAUCUGCCUACAAUGCAGAAAACCGAGGUUCGAUCCCUGGAUGAGGAA